GCUGAGGUAGCUCAGUCGGUAGAACACGAGACUCUUAAUCUCAUGGCUGUGGGUUCCAGCCCCAUGUUAGGCA
RNAcentral lists this transfer RNA (73 nucleotides) under Podarcis lilfordi (Lilford's wall lizard). It matches the Rfam family "tRNA". Rfam says of the family: Transfer RNA (tRNA) molecules are approximately 80 nucleotides in length. Their secondary structure includes four short double-helical elements and three loops (D, anti-codon, and T loops). Lineage: Eukaryota; Metazoa; Chordata; Lepidosauria; Squamata; Lacertidae. The record is from Rfam by way of RNAcentral.